GAUGAACGCUGGCGGCGUGCCUAAUACAUGCAAGUCGAGCGAACAGACGAGGAGCUUGCUCCUUUGACGUUAGCGGCGGACGGGUGAGUAACACGUGGGUAACCUACCUAUAAGACUGGGAUAACUUCGGGAAACCGGAGCUAAUACCGGAUAAUAUUUCGAACCGCAUGGUUCGAUAGUGAAAGAUGGCUUUGCUAUCACUUAUAGAUGGACCUGCGCCGUAUUAGCUAGUUGGUAAGGUAACGGCUUACCAAGGCAACGAUACGUAGCCGACCUGAGAGGGUGAUCGGCCACACUGGAACUGAGACACGGUCCAGACUCCUACGGGAGGCAGCAGUAGGGAAUCUUCCGCAAUGGGCGAAAGCCUGACGGAGCAACGCCGCGUGAGUGAUGAAGGUCUUCGGAUUGUAAAACUCUGUUAUUAGGGAAGAACAAACGUGUAAGUAACUGUGCACGUCUUGACGGUACCUAAUCAGAAAGCCACGGCUAACUACGUGCCAGCAGCCGCGGUAAUACGUAGGUGGCAAGCGUUAUCCGGAAUUAUUGGGCGUAAAGCGCGCGUAGGCGGUUUUUUAAGUCUGAUGUGAAAGCCCACGGCUCAACCGUGGAGGGUCAUUGGAAACUGGAAAACUUGAGUGCAGAAGAGGAAAGUGGAAUUCCAUGUGUAGCGGUGAAAUGCGCAGAGAUAUGGAGGAACACCAGUGGCGAAGGCGACUUUCUGGUCUGUAACUGACGCUGAUGUGCGAAAGCGUGGGGAUCAAACAGGAUUAGAUACCCUGGUAGUCCACGCCGUAAACGAUGAGUGCUAAGUGUUAGGGGGUUUCCGCCCCUUAGUGCUGCAGCUAACGCAUUAAGCACUCCGCCUGGGGAGUACGACCGCAAGGUCGAAACUCAAAGGAAUUGACGGGGACCCGCACAAGCGGUGGAGCAUGUGGUUUAAUUCGAAGCAACGCGAAGAACCUUACCAAAUCUUGACAUUCUUUGACCCUUCUAGAGAUAGAAGCUUCCCCUUCGGGGGACAAAGUGACAGGUGGUGCAUGGUUGUCGUCAGCUCGUGUCGUGAGAUGUUGGGUUAAGUCCCGCAACGAGCGCAACCCUUAAGCUUAGUUGCCAUCAUUAAGUUGGGCACUCUAAGUUGACUGCCGGUGACAAACCGGAGGAAGGUGGGGAUGACGUCAAAUCAUCAUGCCCCUUAUGAUUUGGGCUACACACGUGCUACAAUGGACAAUACAAAGGGCAGCGAAACCGCGAGGUCAAGCAAAUCCCAUAAAGUUGUUCUCAGUUCGGAUUGUAGUCUGCAACUCGACUACAUGAAGCUGGAAUCGCUAGUAAUCGUAGAUCAGCAUGCUACGGUGAAUACGUUCCCGGGUCU
This 1372-nucleotide ribosomal RNA is filed under the name uncultured bacterium. Its description in RNAcentral is "bacterial SSU rRNA". It matches the Rfam family "Bacterial small subunit ribosomal RNA", at positions 28 to 1381 of the family's 1533-position model. The record is from RNAcentral.